CGGGAUGGUGCUCCUCGAGUUGGAUUGAUUCGUGCCUUCGCAAGUCGAAUUAUCCCAGCUCAGAGCGCCAUCUCUUUACUUUGACACGCCGUGCUCAGUCACCGGCAUGAAAG
This 113-nucleotide small RNA is filed under the name Rhodococcus sp. 1168. RNAcentral describes it as "Actinobacteria sRNA Ms_IGR-7". It matches the Rfam family "Actinobacteria sRNA Ms_IGR-7". The record is from Rfam by way of RNAcentral. Lineage: Bacteria; Bacillati; Actinomycetota; Actinomycetes; Mycobacteriales; Nocardiaceae.